AACAAAAACAUGUCCUUUAGAAUAUAAUUUAAGGUCUAACCUGCCCAAUGAUUAUUAUUUAAUGGCCGCAGUAUUUUGACUGUGCAAAGGUAGCAUAAUCAUUAGUUUUUUAAUUGAAAGCUUGUAUGAAUGGUUGGACGAGAAAAAAUCUGUCUUUAAUUAAUUAAAUGAAUUUAAUUUUUUAGUAAAAAAGCUAAAAUUAUUUUAAAAGACGAGAAGACCCUAUAGAUCUUUAUAUUAAUUUAAGUAGAUUUAAUUAAGAAUUAUUUUGAAUUUAUUUUUAGAAAUAUUUUAUUGGGGUAAUAGAAAGAUUAAUUUAAUUCUUUUAUGUUUUUAUCAUUAAAUAAUGAUUUUUUUAUCCUUUUUUAUGGAAAUUUUAUUAAGUUACCUUAGGGAUAACAGCGUAAUUUUUUUAGAGAGUUCAUAUCGAUAAAAAAGUUUGCGACCUCGAUGUUG
RNAcentral lists this ribosomal RNA (456 nucleotides) under Laccophilus alluaudi. Its description in RNAcentral is "partial 16S ribosomal RNA". It matches the Rfam family "Bacterial large subunit ribosomal RNA", at positions 1806 to 2534 of the family's 2925-position model. The record is from RNAcentral. Lineage: Eukaryota; Metazoa; Arthropoda; Insecta; Coleoptera; Dytiscidae.